AGCAGCCGCGGUAAUUCCAGCUCCAAUAGCGUAUAUUAAAGUUGUUGCAGUUAAAAAGCUCGUAGUUGAACUUCGGGGUUUACCCAUUGGUCAGGCUUAAUUGUCUGUACUGGUGAGAUAAAUCUCUACCUUCUGAGGAACUUUCAUGCCAUUUAUUUGGUGUGAUGGGAAAUCAGGACUGUUACUUUGAAAAAUUAGAGUGUUUAAAGCAGGCUAACGUCUGAAUACAUUAGCAUGGAAUAAUGAAAUAGGACGGACUGAUUCUAUUUCGUUGGUUUCUAGGAUCACCGUAAUGAUUAAUAGGGAUAGUUGGGGGCAUUAGUAUUCAAUUGUCAGAGGUGAAAUUCUUGGAUUUAUUGAAGACUAACUACUGCGAAAGCAUUUGCCAAGGAUGUUUUCAUUAAUCAAGAACGAAAGUUAGGGGAUCGAAGACGAUCAGAUACCGUCGUA
RNAcentral lists this ribosomal RNA (450 nucleotides) under uncultured Diversispora. Its description in RNAcentral is "SSU rRNA". It matches the Rfam family "Eukaryotic small subunit ribosomal RNA", at positions 569 to 1022 of the family's 1831-position model. Lineage: Eukaryota; Fungi; Glomeromycota; Glomeromycetes; Diversisporales; Diversisporaceae. The record is from RNAcentral.